Molecule: long non-coding RNA, 2315 nt
Filed under: Homo sapiens (human)
Lineage: Eukaryota; Metazoa; Chordata; Mammalia; Primates; Hominidae
Description: HSALNT0329304
Source: RNAcentral
ACUCCAGCCUGGGUGACAGAGCAAGACUCUGUCUUGGGAAAAAAAACAAAGAAGGAAAAAAAAAAGAAUUCAGAGCAAGGAAUUCUCAACAACCAGCCCUGUGAUGGGAGUAGAAACCUUGCAGACGAAAAGAAAGAACAUAUUGUUUUUUAGAGGAACAGUCUGUGAUGUCCUAUGGGUGUUCUCAGGUGAGUGAGGAGGAAGGGGAUCUGAUAUGUAAGUGCCAGCAAAGGCAUGCCUGCUCCUGAGCCAUACAACACCACACAAAGACAGGCUUUACACAUGAAACCAAGGGCCAGGGAGCUGAAGUAGCAGGAUGAGUUAUGUGGGUAGUAAGCAGUGGAGCAGGGAUAAGAACAAAGGCCUGACUCCAACAUUUAUGCUCUUUCUACUAUACUGUUCCACCAUUAAUUCCACUUCCAGAACUAAGAAAAUAAGUGUUUACUUCAGUUCCCGUAAGAGACAUUGCUUUCUUCCCCAACUUUCUUGCUUUGUUUCUUCCUCAUGUAUCCCUCAGGACCAAAGAUAAAUGGAAAAACAGGAGUGGGAGGUAGAAAAAGGAAUAAAACAAAGAACUGACAUCCCAAAUCCACAAAACACACCUACGAUGACACACACACAAAACCCAAAAUUAAAACAAAGGAGAGAAUUAAGCAAUUUACAGAGGAAAACCCAAAUGGCCAGUAAAUAUAUGAGAUGUUCAGCCUCAGUAAUAAUUAGGAAAAUACAAGCAAAAACCACAAUGAGAUCCAGCUUCACACUAUCUGACUGGUAGUGGGAAGGCUGAAUGGACUAGGAUGGUACCUGUGGGAAGAAACUUUGAGGAGACAUUUGAAGACAGACUUCACUGGAUUUGCCAACUAGUCAACCAGUGGCAGGUGGAAAGAGGGAGUUAAAAAUUAUUCUUAGAUUUCCAAUGAGGAUGACUGAAAGAGCAGUGAUGCCAUGAACAGAAAUAGGGAAGUUAUAAGCAGAGAAAGAUCAUGAGGCUUAGACAUCACCGGCCCCCGAAGGUGAGAAGAAGGAAUUGCUGGUAUGGAGUAUAAGACCUUCAACAGCAUGGAGCUGCUAUUUCACCGGCAGGCUGUGCUGCGCUAGUGCCCAGCUGCCUCUGAGGAAAGGUGCAGAUGAAUCAAAAAGAGCACGGGUGUGGCCUGGUACCUCUUUUUUAAUACUUAGAUUCUUUUGAGCAAUGUGUGCAACUUCUAACUUUUUAGAACAUCAACACGCGCAUUUUGACCCCAAAUCCACUUUUUACUGAAUCAGUUUCUGCUUUGAGACAAAGGUAGUCUCCACUGGUGCUCCUGUAAACCUCCCCGGCCUCCCUGCUAAGCUGUCUGAACCCUGCACAAGACCUGAGGCUGUUUGCCUGCUGUGAACAAGCUCUUCUGUUUUCAGUUCCCUGGUUACAGAAUGUGGUGUCCCGGCCAGGCCCAGCGGGAGAGUGGGAAGAAACACAAAAGAAGGCGGCAGGAUCCCAUGUGUUUCUAAUCCAAAGAAUAUCACUGAUUUGAAUUCAUCACCUCUACUGAUUCCCAUUAAUAAAUGUUAAUGGAAUGGGCAAGGAAAUGAUCCGACCUUUUGAAGAUCCAUGGACUGCAAGCAAAUAUGACGAGUAGGGUGGCUCUACCCUUGAUAAUUUCAAAAGGCACAAGCAAUAAGGGGGUUCAUCUGCAUGACACUGGCCCCUGUGGACAGGGUCUUUAAAAUGAAUAUGUACAAAAGAAGUGAUAAUCCUGCUACAAUAAUGGAGGGAAACCAUCAACAGAAGACUGAUUUCUGAAACUUUCUGAAAUAUGGAAAAACGGAAAGCGGAAAGUAAAGUACAAUAUUUACUCAUGCAGCAAAGCAAGGGAAGCCAUAAUCUUGAAUAUAGGCAUCAACGGGGGAUAAGAAAACACCGACCCGUUUGUCAGAAGUCCAGUGAGGUGCUACAGGAGGAGUGGGUGAGAAGUUUCCGAAAACACUAGAUUUAAUUAAAGAUGUGGCUGUGAGAAAUCUUGACACUUCCUCCUCACUCGCCCUGGCUCAGACCCAAAUUACAGGCAGUUAAUAGGGAAAAGCAUCAGAGGGGUCAUUGCUAAAAUAACUGAACAACUUGGGUGCAGGAAACUGUGGUAACUAGUUAUAUAUAACCGUGGCAGCUAGUUAUAUACAACCGUGGUAGCUAGUUAUGGAGCCCCAGAGUAAAUCCUCAUCCUUCCAUUUUGAAUAUGGUAGUCCCAGGAAAAGUGCCAACUCCCUAUCCAUGAACGUACAAAGAUGAGGAGCAGCUACUCCAGUCCCUUAUUAUUUUUUCUCUAGCCCCUCAUUCU